This is a long non-coding RNA of Sphaerodactylus townsendi, 1016 nucleotides long. RefSeq lists it as uncharacterized. The record is from RefSeq and is a predicted model, not a curated record. The transcript has 2 exons. NCBI's taxonomy places the organism in Eukaryota, Metazoa, Chordata, Lepidosauria, Squamata, Sphaerodactylidae.
GCCACUUCCGCUGCUCAGCUCAACCUCUCCCCGACCUACGGAUUCUCUAUAGAAAGGCGCCACUCUACCCCUUGGCAUCUCGAUGGUGAAUGACUACGCUAUCCGUUUGUGCACCACGAAGGCGGGAAAGCGAGCACACCGGAAGUUCGGGACCGGGAAGGAAGGGGAGAAAGCGAGAUAUAUGAAUAUUGGAAGCAAAUUCAAGUAAACAUUUUGCUAGCACUGUCUGGAUUCCUCUACCUUACCUUCUUCAAACUAGGAAACAAAAUAUUUUUAUGGCCAUUGAUGAACCAUAAAACUGAUAUGUGUACGUGAUGCACUUCAAAAGGACCGUGAGAUCCUCCAGCAAUGUGAACAGGCCUUGAGGGAUAUUGAGGAGCGUGAAUGAGCAACCGCUGAACAAUUACAACGAGACAUGGCAGCGUGAGCUGCUGAUCUCCAUUUUGAAUGACAGCAGAUCGAGGCUGAACGCACCUGUCUUUGACAAGCCUUACUGCGAGCUGAACGGGAUCAGGCCACGCACCCCGGGUUGGCCCAACGCACCCAAGCCCCGCAUUUGGAUCAUCAUACUCCAGCAGCUCCUCAGAUGGAUCAACGUACCCCAGCACCAUGGAUGGAUCACCGCGCUCAAGCAGCCCACCGUCCGGUACCUCCACUGCCUCUGCCUGCGGCUGGCAGGGGAUUCCCGUGACCCAAGAUUCCUGCCCGUUUUGAUGGGAAUCUGACCAAGCUCCCUUAUUUUCUUCUUGUGGAAAGCAGCUGAUUCGAAAGCUCAUGUUUUAUAUAGACUUUUGGUUCUGUUAACACUGGAAUACUUCUGUUUACACACUCACCUCUGCUCCUGUUACUGAAAAUCCAAAGCUGGGUUUUUAAAAAAUUCAUAUAAAUAAUACAAAAAUUCAGAUACAAAAUACAGCUGGCUUAAGAGAGGGUUUGUCAAGAUUUUGAAUGAAUAGAUUUCUGUUAUUCGGACCUGUUGAACAUGGCUAUAAUGAAAUAAAGACCCUGUAAACCCA